Molecule: ribosomal RNA, 256 nt
Filed under: uncultured bacterium
Lineage: Bacteria
Description: partial 16S ribosomal RNA
Rfam family: Bacterial small subunit ribosomal RNA
Source: RNAcentral
UAAUACGGAGGAUGCGAGCGUUAUCCGGAUUUAUUGGGUUUAAAGGGUGCGUAGGCGGAAUGAUAAGUCAGUGGUGAAAACCUGCAGCUUAACUGUAGACUUGCCGUUGAUACUGUCAGUCUUGAGUGUGGUCAAGGUAGGCGGAAUGUGUAAUGUAGCGGUGAAAUGCUUAGAUAUUACACAGAACACCGAUUGCGAAGGCAGCUUACUGGGCCAUUACUGACGCUGAUGCACGAAAGCGUGGGGAUCGAACAGG